Long non-coding RNA from Xiphophorus couchianus (Monterrey platyfish), 501 nucleotides. RefSeq lists it as uncharacterized. The record is from RefSeq and is a predicted model, not a curated record. The transcript is spliced from 2 exons. Lineage: Eukaryota; Metazoa; Chordata; Actinopteri; Cyprinodontiformes; Poeciliidae.
GGGAAGUUCUCUGUGCAAGAGAUGGUCAAAUAAAAAAACGGAAUUGGUAUCAAAGGACUCAAUCCUAGAUGAGGUCUUUGAUAAUCGCUUUAUCAAACUGUCCAAAUCUCAGAGGUGUCCGUAGCAUUAUGAAAAAAAUAUAUGUCUUAAUAUUUACAUUGACAAAACCUUUAGACCAGAUGUUGGGGGGCGGAGGAGACCCAAGUAAAGCACAAAGAAAUCAGUGAGAAUAAGUAUCGAACACACGAAGAAACGGAUUUGCAAAAAGACAAAGAAAGCCAAGAAACCAGCUGAAAUCUGUCUGUAUUUAGAAAGCAUUCCCACUGCUAUAUGUUGUUUUUUUUUAGCUAACACCAUUUUGCCUUACUUAAUCUGUCUGCUUAGCCAUCUUUCUUUACAAUUUGCUAAAUGUUUCUCUCAUUUUUCUUCUAGUCUUAUUUUACUGCUCAUGCUUAGGUUGUGUCUCACCAAACUUCCUGUAUUAAAAAUGUUUCACAUGUA